CGCAACCCCAGAGAUGGGCA
RNAcentral lists this transfer RNA (20 nucleotides) under Corythornis leucogaster (White-bellied kingfisher). Its description in RNAcentral is "partial tRNA-Gly". Lineage: Eukaryota; Metazoa; Chordata; Aves; Coraciiformes; Alcedinidae. The record is from RNAcentral.